Molecule: long non-coding RNA, 455 nt
Organism: Ictalurus punctatus (channel catfish)
Lineage: Eukaryota; Metazoa; Chordata; Actinopteri; Siluriformes; Ictaluridae
Source: Ensembl
GAAAUGGUCGAUAAGUAUGGACACAAGCUAGGUGUAGGUCUUUUCGAAUGAUCUGUGUCUACUCAACAGGAUGCUUCUAACAGUGGUGUUUCCCAUGGAUGUGCUACUUGUGAGGAACCUUCACGGCAAGUCAAGGGAUUCUGGGGAUCAGUGUUGAGCGCUGGAGAAGAGCAAAGUGGAUGCAGUCUACAGAGCAACGCUGACUCAGUGGCUUCACAUGGUGCCUUCAACCACUGCUUCUACAAUCAGUGCCAAGUUGACAGACAAGCAAGAGGAAAGAAUAAAACACAGAAGCCUGAAGAAACACUAAUACUGUUCUAUGACUGAAGGUUCAUCUCCAUCUGUUACUAAGCUGGUCAGUGUAAUUAUAGUUUAUUAAAUAAACUACUGCUGGGGAGGGAGGGGAGAAGAUGAACAGAGCGUAGUUACAAAUAGAAGCACAGUUCUUUUGAAAU